Molecule: ribosomal RNA, 740 nt
Filed under: uncultured Staphylococcus sp.
Lineage: Bacteria; Bacillati; Bacillota; Bacilli; Caryophanales; Staphylococcaceae
Description: bacterial SSU rRNA
Rfam family: Bacterial small subunit ribosomal RNA
Source: RNAcentral
CAAGUCGAGCGAACAGACGAGGAGCUUGCUCCUCUGACGUUAGCGGCGGACGGGUGAGUAACACGUGGAUAACCUACCUAUAAGACUGGGAUAACUUCGGGAAACCGGAGCUAAUACCGGAUAAUAUAUUGAACCGCAUGGUUCAAUAGUGAAAGACGGUUUUGCUGUCACUUAUAGAUGGAUCCGCGCCGCAUUAGCUAGUUGGUAAGGUAACGGCUUACCAAGGCAACGAUGCGUAGCCGACCUGAGAGGGUGAUCGGCCACACUGGAACUGAGACACGGUCCAGACUCCUACGGGAGGCAGCAGUAGGGAAUCUUCCGCAAUGGGCGAAAGCCUGACGGAGCAACGCCGCGUGAGUGAUGAAGGUCUUCGGAUCGUAAAACUCUGUUAUUAGGGAAGAACAAAUGUGUAAGUAACUAUGCACGUCUUGACGGUACCUAAUCAGAAAGCCACGGCUAACUACGUGCCAGCAGCCGCGGUAAUACGUAGGUGGCAAGCGUUAUCCGGAAUUAUUGGGCGUAAAGCGCGCGUAGGCGGUUUUUUAAGUCUGAUGUGAAAGCCCACGGCUCAACCGUGGAGGGUCAUUGGAAACUGGAAAACUUGAGUGCAGAAGAGGAAAGUGGAAUUCCAUGUGUAGCGGUGAAAUGCGCAGAGAUAUGGAGGAACACCAGUGGCGAAGGCGACUUUCUGGUCUGUAACUGACGCUGAUGUGCGAAAGCGUGGGGAUCAAACAGGAUUA